RNAcentral lists this ribosomal RNA (497 nucleotides) under uncultured bacterium. Its description in RNAcentral is "partial 16S ribosomal RNA". It matches the Rfam family "Bacterial small subunit ribosomal RNA", at positions 28 to 507 of the family's 1533-position model. The record is from RNAcentral.
GAUGAACGCUGGCGGCGUGCCUAAUACAUGCAAGUCGAGCGAACGGACGAGAAGCUUGCUUCUCUGAUGUUAGCGGCGGACGGGUGAGUAACACGUGGAUAACCUACCUAUAAGACUGGGAUAACUUCGGGAAACCGGAGCUAAUACCGGAUAAUAUUUUGAACCGCAUGGUUCAAAAGUGAAAGACGGUCUUGCUGUCACUUAUAGAUGGAUCCGCGCUGCAUUAGCUAGUUGGUAAGGUAACGGCUUACCAAGGCAACGAUGCAUAGCCGACCUGAGAGGGGGAUCGGCCACACUGGAACUGAGACACGGUCCAGACUCCUACGGGAGGCAGCAGUAGGGAAUCUUACGCAAUGGGCGAAAGCCUGACGGAGCAACGCCGCGUGAGUGAUGAAGGUCUUCGGAUCGUAAAACUCUGUUAUUAGGGAAGAACAUAUGUGUAAGUAACUGUGCACAUCUUGACGGUACCUAAUCAGAAAGCAACGGCUAACUACGUG